GGAUUGUAAACUUCUUUUAUUAAGGACGAAAAUUGACGGUACUUAAUGAAUAAGCUCCGGCUAACUACGUGCCAGCAGCCGCGGUAAUACGUAGGGAGCAAGCGUUGUCCGGAUUUACUGGGUGUAAAGGGUGCGUAGGCGGCUUUGCAAGUCAGAUGUGAAAUCUAUGGGCUCAACCCAUAAACUGCAUUUGAAACUGCAGAGCUUGAGUGAAGUAGAGGCAGGCGGAAUUCCCCGUGUAGCGGUGAAAUGCGUAGGGAUGGGGAGGAACACCAGUGGCGAAGGCGGCCUGCUGGGCUUUAACUGACGCUGAGGCACGAAAGCGUGGGUAGCAAACAGGAUUAGAUACCCUGGUAGUCCACGCUGUAAACGAUGAUUACUAGGUGUGGGGGGUCUGACCCCUUCCGAGCCGGAGUUAACACAAUAAGUAAUCCACCUGGGGAGU
RNAcentral lists this ribosomal RNA (445 nucleotides) under uncultured bacterium. RNAcentral describes it as "bacterial SSU rRNA". It matches the Rfam family "Bacterial small subunit ribosomal RNA", at positions 420 to 881 of the family's 1533-position model. The record is from RNAcentral.